UACGAAGGGGGCUAGCGUUGCUCGGAAUCACUGGGCGUAAAGGGUGCGCAGGCGGUUGGGUGUGUCAGAUGUGAAAUCCCGAGGCUUAACCUCGGAACUGCGUCUGAAACUACUCGACUAGAGUACUGGAGAGGGUAACGGAAUUCACGGUGUAGCAGUGAAAUGCGUAGAUAUCGUGAGGAACACCAGAGGCGAAGGCGGUUACCUGGAGCUUUGCUGACGCUGAGGCGCGAAAGCGUGGGGAGCGAUCCGG
RNAcentral lists this ribosomal RNA (253 nucleotides) under uncultured bacterium. RNAcentral describes it as "partial 16S ribosomal RNA". It matches the Rfam family "Bacterial small subunit ribosomal RNA", at positions 524 to 776 of the family's 1533-position model. The record is from RNAcentral.